UACGUAGGGUGCAAGCAUUAAUCGGAUUUAUUGGGCGUAAAGGGCGCGUAGGCGGGAAGAUAAGUCAGAUGUGAAAGCCCGGGGCUCAACCCCGGAACAGCAUUUGAAACUAUCAUUCUAGAGGGUAGGCGGAGAAAAUGGAAUUCCACAAGUAGCGGUGAAAUGCGUAGAUAUGUGGAAGAACACCAGUGGCGAAGGCGGUUUUCUAGCUUAUACCUGACGCUGAGGCGCGAAAGCAAGGGGAGCAAACAGG
RNAcentral lists this ribosomal RNA (253 nucleotides) under uncultured bacterium. RNAcentral's name for it is "partial 16S ribosomal RNA". It matches the Rfam family "Bacterial small subunit ribosomal RNA", at positions 524 to 776 of the family's 1533-position model. The record is from RNAcentral.